Molecule: non-coding RNA, 121 nt
Organism: Picea glauca (white spruce)
Lineage: Eukaryota; Viridiplantae; Streptophyta; Pinopsida; Pinales; Pinaceae
Source: Rfam
ACAUGCCUACAACAUAGCGUUAAUGCAUUGGAUCCCAUUAGAACUCCGCAGUUAAGCAUGCUCGGGCUAGAGUAGUAUUGGGAUGGGUGACCGCCUCAGAAGUCCUAUUGUUUUACAUGCC